AUACGGAGGGUGCAAGCGUUAUUCGGAAUCACUGGGCGUAAAGGACGCGUAGGCGGGUUGGCAAGUCAGAUGAGAAAUCCUACAGCUUAACUGUAGAACUGCAUUUGAAACUGCUAACCUAGAGUAUGGGAGGGGGAGAUGGAAUUAGUGGUGUAGGGGUAAAAUCCGUAGAUAUCACUAGGAAUACCGAAAGCGAAGGCGAUCUCCUGGAACAUAACUGACGCUAAGGCGUGAAAGCGUGGGGAGCAAACAGGAUUAGAUACCCUAGUAGUCC
RNAcentral lists this ribosomal RNA (274 nucleotides) under uncultured bacterium. RNAcentral's name for it is "partial 16S ribosomal RNA". It matches the Rfam family "Bacterial small subunit ribosomal RNA", at positions 523 to 796 of the family's 1533-position model. The record is from RNAcentral.